CAUUUUCCCAAAUUAAGGGAGAAUGGUUUUAUGAUCUACAUCGAAUUUAUAUGGCUCAAACUCACUAUAUAUAAAAUAAACGAGAUAAUGUUUGUUUCUUCAUUUAUAUAAAAUAAAUAGAAAUAAGUUGGAGAAGGCAGAUUUGAUUUGAUGUGUAUUGACGUGGCAAUAAAUAGCCAAUAGGUGGCUGUCUGUAUUCAAGUGAUGAGCAGACCGAUCUUGUAAUUGCCAUGCCAUCUGUCCA
RNAcentral lists this long non-coding RNA (244 nucleotides) under Ricinus communis (castor bean). RNAcentral describes it as "long non-coding RNA (RCOM_LNC002955)". Lineage: Eukaryota; Viridiplantae; Streptophyta; Magnoliopsida; Malpighiales; Euphorbiaceae. The record is from RNAcentral.